GAAGGGACCUCUGCUGCAAAUGUUUCAACACUCACACUAUCAUCUCCUUCCCAGAGACUAGCGAAGAUUAGAAGGUGAAAAAAACGCACUCGCGAUUAAAUGUUCUCUGAGCUCAUGCAGUCCUCCCACACUGAAGAAGCCAAGGAGAAUGUGUGGAGGCACACAAUGUUAGAGUCCAGGAAAGCACAAUAUGAAUGCGAGGACAGGUGGCGGGACCAACAGGAGAGCAGA
Long non-coding RNA from Dermochelys coriacea (leatherback sea turtle), 231 nucleotides. RefSeq lists it as uncharacterized. Lineage: Eukaryota; Metazoa; Chordata; Testudines; Dermochelyidae. The transcript is spliced from 4 exons. The record is from RefSeq and is a predicted model, not a curated record.